RNAcentral lists this transfer RNA (86 nucleotides) under Rhodocyclaceae bacterium. Its description in RNAcentral is "tRNA-Leu". It matches the Rfam family "tRNA". From Rfam's summary of the family: Transfer RNA (tRNA) molecules are approximately 80 nucleotides in length. Their secondary structure includes four short double-helical elements and three loops (D, anti-codon, and T loops). Lineage: Bacteria; Pseudomonadati; Pseudomonadota; Betaproteobacteria; Rhodocyclales; Rhodocyclaceae. The record is from RNAcentral.
GCCCGGAUGGUGAAAUUGGUAGACACAAGGGACUUAAAAUCCCUCGGCCUUCGGCUGUGCGGGUUCGAGCCCCGCUCCGGGCACCA